CAGUCGGUGCAGAUCUUGGUGGUAGUAACAAUUAUUCAAAUGAGAACCUUUAAGGCAAAAGAGAGGAAAGGUUCAAUGUGAAGGGCACUUGCACAUGGGUUAGUCGAUCUUAACGGUCGGGGGAACCCUGACAGAUAGCGCAUUUCGCGCGUACUCUGAAAGGGAAUCGGGUUAAAGUUCCUAAACCAGGACGUGGUGAUUGACAGCAACGUUACAAAGUCUGGAGACGUCGGCGGGAGCCUCGGGAAGAGUUAUCUUGUCUGUUUAACAGCCUGCCCACCCUGGAAUCGACUCAGCCGGAGGUAGGGUCCAGCGGGUGGAAGAGCACCACACGUCACGUGGUGUCCGGUGCGCUCCUGGUGGCCCUUAAAAAUCCAGAGGACCGAAUAUCGUCCACGCCUGGUCGUACUCAUAACCGCAUCAGGUCUCCAAGGUGAACAUCCUCUGGUUGAUGGAACAAUGUAGGCAAGGGAAGUCAGAAAAAUGGAUCCGUAACUUCGGGAAAAGGAUUGGCUUUGAGUGCUGGGCACGGGGGUCCCAGUUACGACCCUGUCAGCUGUCGGUGGACUGCUCUAGCUGCUCCCGCGGCGAGAACGGGUUACUGCGUGCCGGCUGGGGGACGGACUGGGAACGGUUCCUUCGAGGGCCUUCCUGGGCGUCGAACAGCCAACUCUGAACUGGUACGGACAAGGGGAAUCCGACUGUUUACUUAAAAUAAAGCAUUGCGAUGGUCCCAACGGAUGUUUACGCAAUGUGAUUUCUUCCCUCUGCUCUGAAUGUCAAAGUGAAGAAAUUUAACCAACCGUGCGUAAAUGGCGGGAGUAACUUUGACUCUCUUAAGGUAGCCAAAUGCCUCAUCAUCUAAUUAGUGACACGUAUGAAUGGAUUAAUGAGAUUCCCACUGUCCCUGUCUACUAUCCAGCGAAACCACAACCAAGGGAAUAGGCUUGGCAGAAUCAGCGGGGAAAGAAGACCUUAUUGAGCUUGACACUAGUCCGACUUUGUGAAAUGACUUGAGAGGUGUAGUAUAAGUGGGAGACGAAAGGCAAAAGUGAAAUAUCACUACUUUCAACGUUAUUUUACUUAUUCUGUGAAUCGGAAGCGGGGCACUUCCCCUCUUUUUGGACCCAAAGCUCGCUUUACGGACCGAUCCGGGCAGAAGACAUUGUCUGGUGGGGAGUUUAGCUGGGGCGGCACAUCUGUUAAAAGAUAACGCAUGUGUCCUAAUAUGAGCUCAACAAGAACAUAAGGGUAAAAGCUCGUUUGAUUCUGAUUUCCUGUACGAUUACGAACCGUGAAAGCGUGGCCUAACAAUCCUUUAGACUUUCAGAAUUCGAAGCUAGAGGUGUCAGAAAAAUUACCACAGGGAUAACUGGUUUGUGGCAGCCAAGCGUUCAUAGCGACAUUUCUUUUUGAUCCUUCGAUGUCGGCUCUUCCUAUCAUUGUGAAGCAGAAUUCACCAAGUGUUGGAUUGUUCACCCAUUAAUAGGGAACGUGAGCUGGGUUUAGACCGUCGUGAGACACGUUAGUUUUACCCUACUAAUGACAGUGUCGCAAUAGUAAUUCAAUCUAGUAGGAGAGAAACCAUUGAUUUACACAAUUGGCCGUCACGCUUGGUUGAAAAGCCAGUGGCGCAAAGCUACCGUGUAUUGGGUUAUGACUGAACGCCUCAAAGUCAGAAUCCGAGAUAGAAGCGACUCAUGAGCCCACCAUCCGCUUUUCGACCCGCAGUAGGGGCCUAUGGCCCCCAUGGAACGUGUCAUUGGCUAAGUCGCCACGACAGAAGCAUCGCGGUGACCGUCUUUAAUACGCAAAGGGGUAUUGUAAGUGGC
This 1832-nucleotide ribosomal RNA is filed under the name Solanum pimpinellifolium. RNAcentral's name for it is "eukaryotic LSU rRNA". It matches the Rfam family "Eukaryotic large subunit ribosomal RNA", at positions 1436 to 3401 of the family's 3401-position model. Lineage: Eukaryota; Viridiplantae; Streptophyta; Magnoliopsida; Solanales; Solanaceae. The record is from RNAcentral.